UAGGGAAUAUUGCACAAUGGAGGAAACUCUGAUGCAGCGACGCCGCGUGAGUGAUGAAGGCCUUCGGGUUGUAAAGCUCUGUUCUCAGGGAAAAAGCAAGUGAUUGUACCUGAGGAGAAAGGACCGGCUAACUUCGUGCCAGCAGCCGCGGUAAGACGAGGGGUCCAAGCGUUGUUCGGAAUUAUUGGGCGUAAAGCGGGUGUAGGUGGAUCUAUAAGUCAGGAGUGAAAGCCCCGAGCUUAACUUGGGAAGUGCUUUUGAUACUGUAGAUCUUGAAUGUGGGAGAGGAUCGUGGAAUUCCAGGUGUAGUGGUGAAAUACGUAGAUAUCUGGAGGAACACCGGUGGCGAAGGCGGCGAUCUGGCCCAACAUUGACACUGAGACCCGAAAGUGCGGGGAUCAAACAGG
RNAcentral lists this ribosomal RNA (407 nucleotides) under uncultured bacterium. RNAcentral describes it as "bacterial SSU rRNA". It matches the Rfam family "Bacterial small subunit ribosomal RNA", at positions 355 to 776 of the family's 1533-position model. The record is from RNAcentral.